Molecule: small nuclear RNA, 106 nt
Organism: Manis pentadactyla (Chinese pangolin)
Lineage: Eukaryota; Metazoa; Chordata; Mammalia; Pholidota; Manidae
Source: RefSeq, a predicted model, not a curated record
GUGCUCACUUCAGCAGCACACACACUGAAAUGAGAACAUACAGAGAAGAUCAGCAUGGCUGCUGUGUGAGAAUGAGAUGCACAUUCCUGAAGCGUUCCAUAUUUUU